This 253-nucleotide ribosomal RNA is filed under the name uncultured bacterium. RNAcentral's name for it is "partial 16S ribosomal RNA". It matches the Rfam family "Bacterial small subunit ribosomal RNA", at positions 524 to 776 of the family's 1533-position model. The record is from RNAcentral.
UACGUAGGGGGCUAGCGUUGUCCGGAUUUAUUGGGCGUAAAGAGCGUGUAGGCGGCCAGGUAGGUCUGCUGUGAAAACUCGAGGCUCAACCUCGAGACGUCGGCGGAAACCAUCUGGCUAGAGUCCGGAAGAGGAGAGUGGAAUUCCUGGUGUAGCGGUGAAAUGCGCAGAUAUCAGGAAGAACACCAAUUGCGAAGGCAGCUCGCUGGGACGUUACUGACGCUGAGACGCGAAAGCGUGGGGAGCAAACAGG